GAUGAAUGCUGGCGGCGUGCCUAACACAUGCAAGUCGAGCGGCAGCGCGGGUAGUUUACUACCUGGCGGCGAGCGGCGGACGGCUGAGUAACGCGUAGGAACGUGCCCCAAAGUGAGGAAUAACUGCCCGAAAGGGUGGCUAAUGCCGCAUAUGGUCUUCGGAUUAAAGUCUUCGGACGCUUUGGGAGCGGCCUGCGUUAGAUUAGGUAGUUGGUAGGGUAAUGGCCUACCAAGCCGACGAUCUAUAGCUGGUCUGAGAGGAUGAUCAGCCAGACUGGAACUGAGACACGGUCCAGACUCCUACGGGAGGCAGCAGUGAGGAAUCUUCCACAAUGGGCGAAAGCCUGAUGGAGCAACGCCGCGUGAAGGAUGAAGGCCCUAGGGUUGUAAACUUCUUUUAUAAGUGAAGAAUAUGACGGUAACUUAUGAAUAAGCACCGGCUAACUACGUGCCAGCAGCCGCAGUAA
RNAcentral lists this ribosomal RNA (467 nucleotides) under uncultured bacterium. RNAcentral's name for it is "partial 16S ribosomal RNA". It matches the Rfam family "Bacterial small subunit ribosomal RNA", at positions 28 to 523 of the family's 1533-position model. The record is from RNAcentral.